This 253-nucleotide ribosomal RNA is filed under the name uncultured bacterium. Its description in RNAcentral is "partial 16S ribosomal RNA". It matches the Rfam family "Bacterial small subunit ribosomal RNA", at positions 524 to 776 of the family's 1533-position model. The record is from RNAcentral.
UACGGAGGGGGUUAGCGUUGUUCGGAAUUACUGGGCGUAAAGCGCGCGUAGGCGGGCUAGUAAGUUAGAGGUGAAAUCCCGGGGCUCAACCCCGGAACUGCCUUUAAUACUGCUAGUCUUGAGUUCGAGAGAGGUGAGUGGAAUUCCGAGUGUAGAGGUGAAAUUCGUAGAUAUUAGAAAGAAUACCAAUUGCGAAGGCAGCUCACUGGCUCGAUACUGACGCUGAGGUGCGAAAGUGUGGGGAGCAAACAGG